Long non-coding RNA from Papaver somniferum (opium poppy), 498 nucleotides. RefSeq lists it as uncharacterized. Lineage: Eukaryota; Viridiplantae; Streptophyta; Magnoliopsida; Ranunculales; Papaveraceae. The record is from RefSeq and is a predicted model, not a curated record. The transcript has 3 exons.
UCUGGGGCCUUGUAGUGAACUGCCAUAAGGUGGAGGGUUUCUUUUUUGAAUUGUUUCCGCUCAGGUUUGCAGCUUCGUGAGGCUGCAUGUUGUCUUUCCUUUCCUGAUAGGGACUAGGGAGCUCUCUCUUUGUUCUAAACAAGGCAGAAUAUGGCAAACAAAAAUUCAGGAUUAUCUUGACUUUUGAGAUUUGGCGGAAGCUCCAGUAGUAAUCCAGGAGAAGAUCAUACCAUAUUUAAAGCUACAGUGACCAGUCAAUGCUUUCGACAAUUUGUCUCCGUAGAAGCUUAAACCAUCCCAACAUAGUGAAUUUGAUUGGUUACAGCCUUGAUGGAGACCAGAUAGUUUAAAGAAAGGUCUCCAGAAUCUAUGGAUACACGCCACUUAGGUGUUCGGGCCUCUUCACAUAGAAUCCGAGAAACGUGAACUGGUGGGAGGUAAGGAAUUCAUCACGGUGGCUGAUCCACUGCUGGAAGGCCGUUAUCCAGAGCAAGGCUU